Molecule: long non-coding RNA, 422 nt
Organism: Sesamum indicum (sesame)
Lineage: Eukaryota; Viridiplantae; Streptophyta; Magnoliopsida; Lamiales; Pedaliaceae
Source: RefSeq, a predicted model, not a curated record
AACAUAUAUAUAUAUAAGCAUCGAAGUUUCCUCUCAUUUUAAAAAUUAAAAUUAUAUGGAGGAGAAGCUAUUAUUCUAUUCAUAGAGCCAAUAUCCAAGAAUUAUGGACCAAUUAUUAUAUGCAAGCAUUUUCGCUUCCACUCCUCUUUGUCAGUUCAACUGAAAUCUGUUCUUGUUUCCAGGAAUCAAGCCUCCUCAGGCUAAAGAUGAUGGAUGGUGUCCAAACUCCAGAAUGAGGAGACAUUUGAAGACCAAUUAGAUUCUUCAAGGAUCUUUAAAUUAUUGUAGCUGUCGUUCAUAAGACUUGUUCUGUUGCAUCAUAUUUUUCUUGACACUGUGUACCUGAAUAAUUUUGUUAGCUGAGUAAUGUCAGCUCACAGAAGCUGAUAACAUUUCAUCUACCCUGCUGGAAUUUAUUUGGG